This 480-nucleotide ribosomal RNA is filed under the name uncultured bacterium. Its description in RNAcentral is "bacterial SSU rRNA". It matches the Rfam family "Bacterial small subunit ribosomal RNA", at positions 28 to 524 of the family's 1533-position model. The record is from RNAcentral.
GACGAACGCUGGCGGCGCGCUUAAUACAUGCAAGUCGAACGAGAAGCCAGAGCUUGCUCUGGUGGAAAGUGGCGAACGGGUGAGUAACACGUGAGAAACCUGCCCCAAAGAUUGGGAUAAGCCUUGGAAACGAGGUCUAAUACCAAAUACCUUCUUUUUAACACAUGUUAAAAAGAAGAAAUGCUCCGGCGCUUUGGGAUGGUCUCGCGAUCUAUCAGCUUGUUGGUGAGGUAACGGCUCACCAAGGCAUCGACGGAUAGCUGGUCUGAGAGGAUGUCCAGCCACAUUGGAACUGAGACACGGUCCAAACUCCUACGGGAGGCGGCAGUAGGGAAUCUUGCACAAUGAGGGAAACCUUGAUGCAGCGACGCCGCGUGCGGGACGAAGGCCCUAGGGUUGUAAACCGCUUUCAGUAGGGACGAAAGUGACGGUACCUACAGAAGAAGCCCCGGCCAACUAUGUGCCAGCAGCCGCGGUAAU